UACGUAGGGUCCGAGCGUUGUCCGGAAUUACUGGGCGUAAAGAGCUCGUAGGUGGUUUGUCGCGUUGUUCGUGAAAACUCACAGCUCAACUGUGGGCGUGCGGGCGAUACGGGCAGACUUGAGUACUGCAGGGGAGACUGGAAUUCCUGGUGUAGCGGUGGAAUGCGCAGAUAUCAGGAGGAACACCGAUUGCGAAGGCAGCUCGCUGGGACGUAACUGACGCUGAGACGCGAAAGCGUGGGGAGCAAACAGG
Molecule: ribosomal RNA, 253 nt
Filed under: uncultured bacterium
Lineage: Bacteria
Description: partial 16S ribosomal RNA
Rfam family: Bacterial small subunit ribosomal RNA
Source: RNAcentral